GAAAAUCAGGAAGCAAACCCGAAAGCAGCUGGGUUCAGAUUGCCAUUCUGGAGAGAGAGAACAAUCAGGGUCUUAUGAAAGGAGGCUGUGGGGAGGAGCACCGGGAGGCUGCAGGCUGUCCAGGAAGCUUACAUGUUUCAGCAAGGAAGGUCCUUUUUGAUAUCAACGGAAAGAAAAGAAAAGAAAAGAAAAGAAAAGAAAAGAAAAGAAAAGAAAAGAAAAGAAAAGAAAAGAAAGAAAGCUCUUCAAUUUACUCUAGG
Hemicordylus capensis (graceful crag lizard) is the source of this 260-nucleotide long non-coding RNA. RefSeq lists it as uncharacterized. The record is from RefSeq and is a predicted model, not a curated record. Lineage: Eukaryota; Metazoa; Chordata; Lepidosauria; Squamata; Cordylidae. The transcript is spliced from 3 exons.